GCUGGGCACAGUGGUGCAUACCUGUAAUCCCAGUGAUUUGCGAGGCCGAGGCAGGAGGAUUGCAAGUUCAAGGCCAGCCUGGGCAACUUAGCAAGACCCUGUCUCAA
Molecule: small RNA, 107 nt
Filed under: Marmota monax (woodchuck)
Lineage: Eukaryota; Metazoa; Chordata; Mammalia; Rodentia; Sciuridae
Source: RNAcentral